GUUAAUGUAGCUUAAACAUCUAUAAAGCAAGACACUGAAAAUGUCUAGAUGGGCCCAACCAGCCCCAUUAGCA
This 73-nucleotide transfer RNA is filed under the name Caperea marginata (pygmy right whale). RNAcentral describes it as "transfer RNA-Phe". The record is from RNAcentral. Lineage: Eukaryota; Metazoa; Chordata; Mammalia; Artiodactyla; Neobalaenidae.